Molecule: long non-coding RNA, 2561 nt
Filed under: Paramuricea clavata
Lineage: Eukaryota; Metazoa; Cnidaria; Anthozoa; Malacalcyonacea; Plexauridae
Source: RNAcentral
AUCACAAACAUCUUAUAGCUUUGUUUCGCAAGAUCACCUAGAGAAGAUCUGAACAUCGAAGACGAAACCCUUUUUGGGCUCGUUAGUCGUGUACCAUUAUAGCCAUUCGUUGGCUAAUCUAGAAUAUAAUUGUACCUUCUCGCAAAGGCAGACACUUAAAUUCAUAUAAAUUAAAAUAUAUCUCGUUUUAAUUGUGCAUGUAUGUUGAAUUAGUGAUAAAAAUUAUAUAUACAAAUCAUUAGCAUGAAAAAUUAAUUGUGUCGAUCGUUACUCCCAAAUACUCCCAAAUCUCGCUAGUAUCAAUUGGUAUGCAUUUUGAUAUAUUAUAUGCCAGUUGCGUGCAUUGUAGUACUUUUUGCCUCAUCACUAACACCUCUUUGUAACGGAGCCGGCCUAGUGUGGACCUCUUGUUUUUUAAACCUGGCCAAAAAAGAAAACAUUGCGACAAUUUGAGUUCACCAUCCAGGUCCAUCACAAAAAGGCAUAAUUGGUAUUUACCGUAGAAUCCCCAAAGUGGCGCCCCCGGCGGUAAAUAUGAAGAAACAAAGAUAAUUUCACAGUAAUUAGUGCCUCAAUCCACGAAGUAGCGGUCCGCAAACAACAAAUAGGGAACUUUAGAGUUGACUACGGCUACGAGAUCUAGUACAACUACGAGAUUUUUCCGUUAAAUUUCUGCUCCUUGAGACUUGCUGUCGUUCUCUCUUUGGCAUGGCGCAUCUUUAAAACCGUAACACGUGAACCAAACUACAUUUUAAGCUUUUUGGAGCAGAUAUUUAACGAAAAAAUCUCGUAUAGUCGUACUAGAUCUCGUAGCCGUAGUCAAAUCUAAAGCUCCCUAAUAACUGAUGGGGGCGCUACUUUCCCAAUUAUAUGGUAUAUAAAGCUUCUUAAUCACGACAUUUAAAUGUGUUACCUUAGGGACCGGUCAUUAUUUAUGGUGGGGGGUGGCACCGAAGAGAAAAGGGUUGGGUAAACAAAAUUUUGAGGGAGUAAAAGGUUGGGUAAAUGAAAAAGAAAACAACUCAGGGGUUGGGUGAUAAAAAUUUAUUGCCAAUGCAUGAUUCACUGAAAUAUUGGAGACUGAGAAGCAACAGUCAUCAAUAUGGCAAGAUGUCAACAGUCGUAUGUCGAUCAAUACAAUAUGUGAAUCAAUCAGAAUCACUAUAUCUUGAUAAUUUCCCGAUUUUUUGGGAGGCAAAUGGUGUCUCCAAAAAAAGUACAUGUGCAGACAACAUGAAACUUUAGACUGCAGAAAAUUUCACAAUCCGUUAUCAAACUCAUGUCACAGAAGUGGUAAAGGACAUGUGUGACAACUGAAUGGUAUCCGUUUGUAACGUUUUUGGCCAGGGGUGGGUAUUUAUUUUUUAAUUGAUAUUUGAGGUUGGGUAAUCAAUUUUUUUACUUUUUAAUGGUUGGGUCAGCAAAAUUUUUGCCAAGAAAAACAUUUCUCCUCGGUGCCACCCCCCACCAUAAAUAAUGACCGGUCCCUUAGACCUAUUUUAGUCUUAACCAUUCGGACGUCUGAAACGGGCCUUAGAUUAAUUAUUAUUGCUCCUUAGGCCUGUUUCAAACGUCGCGCUUCUCAGGUGCCGAACGCAUUAGAAAUAGAUAAUGAGACAUUUCAGGGGCCGGUUGUAUAAAAAAGUGAUUAAAGUUAACUAUAGUUAGUGGAAACGUCAUCCAAUAAGAAGCGCGUAUUUGAGAGUUAAUCACUAUUUAACUACAAAAUAGUGAUUAAAAAGUAAUUAAGAGUUUUAUACAACCGGCCCCAGCUGAUUAUCUACUGUUUUUGAUGCGUUCGGCACAUGAGAAACGCGACGUUUGAAACAGGCCUUACACACGUAAAAACGCACAAGUUGUAACAUGCCUGGGGCAGGUUGUAUAAAACUCUUAAUCACUUUUUAAAUCACUAUUUUGUAGUUAAAUAGUGAUUUACUCUCAAAUACGCGCUUCCUAUUGGAAACGUUUCAACUAACUAUAGUUAACUUUAACUCACUUUUUUAUACAACCGGCCCCUGCAGCAGACUUGUAGCAAUGUUGUUACAACAACUUGGCAACAGGAUGUGUUCGCACUGCUUGUUCCCAGCUUGUUGACAAAUGACAAGAUGUCAACGGCUUAUCAUUGACAACUUGCUACAAGGUUGUUGAGCUCAAAAGACUUGAUACAGGUUGUUCCAACAAAUUGUUAUCGUCCUGCAUUGCAAUUCAAUAAUUUGUCAACAAGUUGUGAGUGAUAACCUUGUAGUUACAAGCUUGUUGCGAAAACAUCUUGUUGACAAAUUGUGAGGUUUUUACGUGUGUAGGCUAUGAAUUACGUGCAUUUUAAAUAACGAAAGUAACUGAACAGAUUCAGUACAGCGCAUGACUUAAGACAAAAGCAAAGCUUACGGACAAAAGCCAAAUGAAUGUCAAAGACACAUGGUCAGCUUUUGAUGUUGUUGCUGUUGUCGGAUUUGGUGGAUUUGACAAAACAAUCAAACUAUCUGGAUAAUUAGCGUUAAGUCCACACCACUUUUCAAAAUCCAGACCUAAAAAUUACGCAAAGAAAGUGUUCGUUAAAU